RNAcentral lists this ribosomal RNA (570 nucleotides) under Caulocystis cephalornithos. RNAcentral's name for it is "LSU rRNA". It matches the Rfam family "Eukaryotic large subunit ribosomal RNA", at positions 42 to 647 of the family's 3401-position model. Lineage: Eukaryota; Phaeophyceae; Fucales; Sargassaceae. The record is from RNAcentral.
AUAACUAAGCGGAGGAAAAGAAACUAACCAGGAUUCCCCCAGUAACGGCGAGUGAAGCGGGAAGAGCUCGCGAUGUGAACCCGGCCGCGAGGUCGGGAUUGUAGUCUGGAGAGGCGUUGCCAGCCGGCGGCGGGGUCGAAGUCUCUUGGAAAAGAGCAUCAAGGAGGGUGACAAUCCCGUCUCGGUCCCCGCUCGGCGAGCUUACGGCGCGCUUUUUACGAGUCGAGUUGCUUGGGAUUGCAGCUCAAAGCGGGUGGUAAAUUCCAUCUAAAGCUAAAUACGGGUGGGAGACCGAUAGCGAACAAGUACCGUGAGGGAAAGAUGCAAAGAACUUUGAAAAGAGAGUUAAAGAGUGCCUGAAAUUGCUGAAAGGGAAGCGAAGGAAGCCAGUGUCUGACGGUUGUGCUUCUCCGACGGUCUUGGGGCCGCCGGGCGGCGCUUCCGUCGUGGCCAGGGCCGGGUUGGGCCGCGGGAUCUCGCGUCCUCGGGAGGUACGUCUCUUCGGAGAGGGAAUGCCGGGGCGCUCUCCGUCGCGGUCGUGGCCGGCCCCGACGAAAUGGUUUUCUUCAC